RNAcentral lists this ribosomal RNA (753 nucleotides) under uncultured Achromobacter sp. RNAcentral's name for it is "bacterial SSU rRNA". It matches the Rfam family "Bacterial small subunit ribosomal RNA", at positions 28 to 776 of the family's 1533-position model. The record is from RNAcentral. Lineage: Bacteria; Pseudomonadati; Pseudomonadota; Betaproteobacteria; Burkholderiales; Alcaligenaceae.
AUUGAACGCUAGCGGGAUGCCUUACACAUGCAAGUCGAACGGCAGCACGGACUUCGGUCUGGUGGCGAGUGGCGAACGGGUGAGUAAUGUAUCGGAACGUGCCUAGUAGCGGGGGAUAACUACGCGAAAGCGUAGCUAAUACCGCAUACGCCCUACGGGGGAAAGCAGGGGAUCGCAAGACCUUGCACUAUUAGAGCGGCCGAUAUCGGAUUAGCUAGUUGGUGGGGUAACGGCUCACCAAGGCGACGAUCCGUAGCUGGUUUGAGAGGACGACCAGCCACACUGGGACUGAGACACGACCCAGACUCCUACGGGAGGCAGCAGUGGGGAAUUUUGGACAAUGGGGGAAACCCUGAUCCAGCCAUCCCGCGUGUGCGAUGAAGGCCUUCGGGUUGUAAAGCACUUUUGGCAGGAAAGAAACGUCAUGGGUUAAUACCCCGUGAAACUGACGGUACCUGCAGAAUAAGCACCGGCUAACUACGUGCCAGCAGCCGCGGUAAUACGUAGGGUGCAAGCGUUAAUCGGAAUUACUGGGCGUAAAGCGUGCGCAGGCGGUUCGGAAAGAAAGAUGUGAAAUCCCAGAGCUUAACUUUGGAACUGCAUUUUUAACUACCGAGCUAGAGUGUGUCAGAGGGAGGUGGAAUUCCGCGUGUAGCAGUGAAAUGCGUAGAUAUGCGGAGGAACACCGAUGGCGAAGGCAGCCUCCUGGGAUAACACUGACGCUCAUGCACGAAAGCGUGGGGAGCAAACAGG